UCCAGGGUAGCCUAUUGGAGAUGGCAUCUGCCCGGUAAGCGGAAAACUGUGAGUUCGGUUCCCAUCCUUGGAC
This 73-nucleotide transfer RNA is filed under the name Cordylochernes scorpioides. RNAcentral's name for it is "tRNA-Thr". The record is from RNAcentral. Lineage: Eukaryota; Metazoa; Arthropoda; Arachnida; Pseudoscorpiones; Chernetidae.